GUGGGGAAUCUUGCGCAAUGGGCGAAAGCCUGACGCAGCCAUGCCGCGUGAAUGAUGAAGGUCUUAGGAUUGUAAAAUUCUUUCACCGGGGACGAUAAUGACGGUAUCCGGAGAAGAAGCUCCGGCUAACUUCGUGCCAGCAGCCGCGGUAAUACGAAGGGGGCUAGCGUUGCUCGGAAUUACUGGGCGUAAAGGGCGCGUAGGCGGACAGCUUAGUCAGAGGUGAAAGCCCAGGGCUCAACCUUGGAAUUGCCUUUGAUACUGGCUGUCUUGAGUUUGGGAGAGGUGAGUGGAACUCCGAGUGUAGAGGUGAAAUUCGUAGAUAUUCGGAAGAACACCAGUGGCGAAGGCGACUCACUGGCCCAAUACUGACGCUGAGGCGCGAAAGCGUGGGGAGCAAACAGGAUUAGAAACCCGUGUAGUCC
RNAcentral lists this ribosomal RNA (425 nucleotides) under uncultured bacterium. Its description in RNAcentral is "partial 16S ribosomal RNA". It matches the Rfam family "Bacterial small subunit ribosomal RNA", at positions 354 to 796 of the family's 1533-position model. The record is from RNAcentral.